Molecule: ribosomal RNA, 499 nt
Filed under: uncultured bacterium
Lineage: Bacteria
Description: partial 16S ribosomal RNA
Rfam family: Bacterial small subunit ribosomal RNA
Source: RNAcentral
GACGAACGCUGGCGGCGUGCUUAACACAUGCAAGUCGAACGGGCCCGCUCUCUUUUUUGGGGGUGGGUUGAGUGGCGAACGGGUGAGUAUCACGUGAGUAACCUGCCCCCUGCUCCUGGAUAACUGCUUGAAAGGGCGGCUAAUACGGGGUGUGCCGGCUGGUCCGCAUGGGCCUGGUCGGGAUAGUUUCAUCUUCGGGUGUUUCGGUGGGGGAUGGGCUCGCGGCCUAUCAGCUUGUUGGUGGGGUGAUGGCCCACCAAGGCGGGGACGGGUAGCCGGCCUGAGAGGGUGGGCGGCCACACUGGGACUGAGACACGGCCCAGACUCCUGCGGGAGGCAGCAGUGGGGGGUAUUGCACAAUGGGCGGAAGCCUGAUGCAGCGACGUCGCGUGAGGGAUGGAGGCCUUCGGGUUGUGAACCUCUUUCUCCGGUGGUGAAGGCCCUGUCCGUUGCGGCGGGGUUGACGGUAGCCGGGUAUGAAGCGCCGGCUAACUACGUG